GAUGAACGCUGGCGGCGUGCCUAAUACAUGCAAGUCGAGCGAACAGACGCGGAGCUUGCUCCUCUGACGUUAGCGGCGGACGGGUGAGUAACACGUGGAUAACCUACCUAUAAGACUGGGAUAACUUCGGGAAACCGGAGCUAAUACCGGAUAAUAUAUUGAACCGCAUGGUGCAAUAGUGAAAGACGGUUUUGCUGUCACUUAUAGAUGGAUCCGCGCCGCAUUAGCUAGUUGGUAAGGUAAAGGCUUACAAAGGCAACGAUGCGUAGCCGACCUGAGAGGGUGAUAGGCCACCUGGGAGCUGAGACACGGUCCAUACGCCUACGGUAGGCAGCAGUAGGGAAUCUUCCGCAAUGGGCGAAAGCCUGACGGAGCAACGCGGCGUGAGUGAUGAAGGUCUUCGGAUCGUAAAACUCUGUUAUUAGGGAAGAACAAAUGUGUAAUUAACUAUGCACGUCGUGACGGUACCUAAUCAGAAAGCCACGGCUAACUACGUG
This 497-nucleotide ribosomal RNA is filed under the name uncultured bacterium. RNAcentral describes it as "partial 16S ribosomal RNA". It matches the Rfam family "Bacterial small subunit ribosomal RNA", at positions 28 to 507 of the family's 1533-position model. The record is from RNAcentral.